AGAGGGCGUGAAACCGUUUAGAAGGAAACGAGAGGCGCCGUAUUUUGCCUUCAUGAUUCAAUCGUCAUGCCACUUGUGGUGUGUCGGUGCAUUUCACGUUGGCAUUCACUGAGGCCCGUGCUUCAAUUUCGGCAUCACUUGAUAGGGAUGCACUUCGGUGUUAUCUUUCUCUUGUCGUCGUAAUUUUGGUACGGUUUGACGUGCUCUGUAAAGCUCGACGCAGGAUGAUCGUUAUUUGCUGUUUGCUUAUCGACCUUUGGUCGGUGGCAUUCAGUGCGUCUGGAGAUUUUUGUUUUGAGGAGCGCAUACUCGGUGUGAAUUUCGGCUAACCUCCCGACCCGUCUUGAAACACGGACCAAGGAGUUUAACUUGUGCGCGAGUCAGUGGGUCUAUUAAACCUACGGGCGAAAUGAAGGUAAAGGCCAGCUCGGUUGGCUAACACACGAUCCAUUCAGCUUGCUGUUUGUCGCAGUGUGGUCCCAUCUUGGAUGCUUGUCAUCGAGGUGGAGAUUGAGCGUACAGGUUGAGACCCGAAAGAUGGUGAACUAUGCCUGAACAGGAUGAAGUCAGAGGAAACUCUGAUGGAAGUCCGAAGCGGUUCUGACGUGCAAAUCGA
This 616-nucleotide ribosomal RNA is filed under the name Desmoscolecidae sp. 721_8-1500_X. Its description in RNAcentral is "eukaryotic LSU rRNA". It matches the Rfam family "Eukaryotic large subunit ribosomal RNA", at positions 392 to 901 of the family's 3401-position model. Lineage: Eukaryota; Metazoa; Nematoda; Chromadorea; Desmoscolecida; Desmoscolecidae. The record is from RNAcentral.